This 1441-nucleotide long non-coding RNA is filed under the name Pogona vitticeps (central bearded dragon). RNAcentral's name for it is "lncRNA (ENSPVIG00000010055.1)". Lineage: Eukaryota; Metazoa; Chordata; Lepidosauria; Squamata; Agamidae. The record is from RNAcentral.
GAAUCACACAAGGUCCCUACUAGCUCUGUGCAGCUCUCUGCGAACACUUCUUGAGAGUUCUUCUAACAAGAGCAGUAGACAAAAUUGGGUGGGGAGAACCAAAGCGAUGCUUAGAUAAGAGGAGCAAAUUAACCAUAGCAGGAAACAUGUGUUUCCUGCUAUGGAUACAGUAGGACCUCUGUAUCUAUGGGAUCUGUAUCCACCCUUUCAAUUAUCUAUGGUCUGAAAAUAUUAAAAGAAAAAAUCCAGGAAAAAAUAUUUUCAUGUGUCUGCAUUUCCUAGUAUGGUUCUGCCCUAGCUGGCUGGACAGGUCAGUGGUUUAAGCAUUUGGCUGCAGAGUCAGAGGUUGGGGGAAAAUCUUUUGAACCAAACUUGAAUUAGCCUCCAUUUGCAGUUGCCAAAUUAAAGAGAUCCUGCCUUUUCCCAGGAUCAUGACACCCAUAGGUUUUAAGGAGUUGGUGCGUGACAGAGAAAUGAAGUGGCAACCCUAAUUCUUCGCCAAAGUGCUUGAAUCCCCAAAGGUUCAAACCUAGGCUUUUAAGAAUUAUUGCCCUCAAAGCUCUAAACCUGGAAGGAAGACUUUGCAUCGUCUGGUUUCUCGUAGAUUCACACACUUUUCCUCUCACCUUCUCUCUAUCCUAGAUAGGAAGGAAAUAGGGGAUUUUGGAAAACACCUAUUAGAAAGAAACUGAAACUGAAUGAUCUCUCUUCUGUAGUGGUUUAUGUUGCAGAGUUUUGCAUUUUGAUUAAAUUCUCUCCCAGCUGCACAGCAGAAAUUGAGAGAUUCACAGAGCAGAAUAGCCUUAAGUUGCCCAGAGUAGACCAACUCCUUUUUCUCUCUCCUUAACUGGCAGGUGCAGGAGGAAAAGGAAGAAAACAAUCAGGAGCAGAAGGAGAAGGGACAGAUUUCAGCCAAAACACCUCAUCAGAGCGGGUUUGACAUCGAGGAAGAAUACACUGCCGAUGAGCGCCACAUUCUGGAGAUAGGAGACGUCAGGACAUUUAGUGAGUGGUUCCUGUACGAAAAUGCUGACAGCUUUGAGACCUACGCAGGGAGCAAGACCUCAGUCAAGCCGAUCAGGACAUUCAGUUCAGCACCUGUUCUAUCAGAACUAACAUUUUCCAACACAAGCAUGAACACAAGCAGGUCCUCGGGCCAACCACCAGCGCCUCCUGUGUUUCCAGUUCCAAAGAAAGGCGAAAACGGAAGCCUUAACAUUGUCACCAUCUAUUCCGCCAUCUCCAAAAUUCUGGGGGAGAAAAAUGGAGAGAGAGCAGACACUGAGCCCUGUCAGAGAGGUGUCUUGGAACAGGAGGAGCUGAGAGGGCAAUAGAAGCCCCAGGUAGGCAAAGCUUUGUCUUGAGCUUCCUCUUGAAGGCUGGGAGGGAGGGGGGCUGGCGAAGCUCUUAACGGGAGCCCAGUCAAGGAUGGUGCCACAAC